CAGUCGGUAGUUAGGACCUGCCAUCCACUUUGUAUGUGUGCUGGAGGUUUUACUUCUGGCUAACGCCAGUCUUGUCCUGUGGACUGACACCCGCUGGUGACUGGAGUUCACGUCUGCUUUAGUUUCAGACCGGGGAAAUCUGUUUGCGUGCUCUCAGACUGCCUCGUCAUCUGAACCACAUCUCAGUGACCACGACCACUCGGGAGAUUUUCCUUUAAGAGUUUGUUUGUGAUGUGACUAAAAUGCAAAUGUAUCUUCACCCGGCACUCAGGAGCUCCGAGCCGUGUUGUGUAACACAGCCGUGUGUGCUGUAAGGGUGUCUAAUUAUAGCAUCAGAUUCUGAUCGUGGAGAGCUCGAUUUUUAUCACUUAAAAGGGGGUGUGGGUGAUGCUUCGGGGGCAGUAAUACUGAAAUAACAUAAUGAGCUGAGGCAGCGGAGCAAGUGCCGGAGCAGGAGGGGUGCCUCCCUCGCAGGCUGUCUGUAGCCUUGCACCCGUGUGGCCGCGGUUCCUGCUCGCCCCGGGCAUCGCCGGCUGCGCAGGAAAUGGAGCCGAGCUGCACAAAGGGAAGCGACGGCUGGUAUGUCCGAAAUAUGGAUUCAAUAAUAUCCGAAGUCAAGUUGUACCUCAGCCCGUUGCAGCCGUCUGUCUGAGGCCGUACAUCAGCCUAAGGAAAAGCACACAGGGGAAAGAACAGUCAUGUCUGGAUGCUUUCUCUGACUGCAGAAGGAAAAGAACUGGCAUCUUGCAAGCAAGGUCUGCUGCAGCUGGCCCAGCUCCCACGGAAGGACAGCGGUAGGAAAGCAGAGGCAGGGUCGGUAACAUCUGGAUCCCAGUUUCCAGUGGUGAGCUAAGUGCAAUUAGCCACUACUGCUCCCCAAGUCAACCACCAAUGCCUCCAAGGUACUACUACACCCUCAUGACUCAUAAGAAAAACCUAAUUCCUGCUUCCAUCCUCAUAACCAGAGGGAGCAGAGCCUGGGACAGCUAUGCUUAUGGACUGUUGCUAUACUGACUUUAGUGAAGCACUGCAAAUGGCACUAACCUAACUUUUAAUAUCAGCCCUUUCUCCAGUGCAAGUGGGAGACAGGAACCAGAUAUCAAUACUAAAUCAUCAUCUCUAUUACAAAUUUACAAAUACAUCUCAGCCUUUUUUUAUUUCAGAUGACAAAAAGCAUUUUUCACCUAAGUUAAAAAUACUUCAAUGCCUAUACAGGUACAUAUUUAAAAUACAAGCUGCUUAAGUGUAAGUUAAUAGCUAAAUAAAACCUUCACAAAGUUGAUUAUUAUAGGUGAACAGGGCUUUUAAACUUCUUAUCACAUUUGUAUUUAAGAAAAAAGCAUCUUAGUUCUGAUUCAUCAUACACUUUUGAUCAUGCUGCAGUACUUGUAUGUGACUUUAAACAGCAAUAAUCACUAAACCAUUACCAAGUGACGCAUACAACUUACUUUUUAUUCCUUCUUUGGCAUUACAGCACAUGAAAUAUGAGCACUAAUUGCAGCCAGAAAGGCAGCAUGCUAUAGACAUUUACUGUUUAGUUUUGACUUGCAAGUACUCUGCUGUUGCAACAGCAAAUGCUUAUUCGGAAUGUUACCAGCUAGGCCAAACUACAGAAGCUGACACUUCUGAAGCUAUGGUCUGUUGGAUGAAAAUAAAACAGAGUUCAUUUUAUAUGAAAAUUGAAACAGCUUUAAAUACUGAGUUAAACAGAUGACACGCCAGAUAGUUUCUGUGUUAGACUGAAAAUCCUAUAUGCGUCCUCAAUCCUCCUCCCACCCUUCCCUCUACAAGCAUAUGGCACAGGUUAUUUUUCUGUUCAAUUUGUUGUAGAAGUUUAUCAAAGUUAAUAGUAAAUGCAGUGUAAGUUAAUAUCUGAAGGCUACAGAAGUUCUGUGGUAGCAUCCUUAAGCGGGUGAUACUUCACCACAGUCCUGAUCUCUGCUGCUACAGAGUAGCCUGGCCAGAGCACCACACCUUUGCAAUCUUUCUCACUUAGCUAUACCCAGCGUUACAUGGCACGUGAGCUUUGUGCUAUAUUUACAGAUCCAGGGCAAUACUGCUGACUGCAGCAGGAGCAGUGUGCACUCACAUUUGAUGUCUGCAUACAUGUGGCUGACAGUGAAGCGGUCCUUGCCCUCGGGUGCCCACGCAAUGCGUUCAGCCAUCAGGUACAGAGCUCCAUCCUGCUUCUUCUGACGCACCUUCUUCACUAUCAGCAACACUUCUUCAGAUGACGUUGCCAUUGUGGCUACAAUGAGCUAUUAAAAACAUACAGCUGAGCUGAUUAGCUGUAAUUAUUUUUGCUGUAACUCUUUCACUACUCCUAUCUAUAUUAAAGUAUUACAGCCCACUUUUACUUGUUCAAGCCUAUAUGAUUUUGGGAGUAUUUCAGAUAAACACACCCCCCUCUUUCAGUACAAUCAGCAAAUUCAUUUAAACAAAAUACUCCCAGUUACCUAAAUAAUUAAUUUAAUUAUAUUGCUGAUACUGCUUUUGCUCCAGUAAAGACCCACAAAUCUUACAUUUAAACUGAUAACUAAAUUUUCCUGUUUUACUGUUCCUUUACUGGUUUUUCAAGUUCAGAAGAAUACUGAAGCUAAGCAAUGACAAAUUCCAAAUCUCCUCUGGCUUUGGCAGCAAUUCCCUUCUUCAGUGGGAAUGGCAGAUGCUAAGUCAUUUCAGAAAAGGGUACAAGGUAUGUGAAAAAUCAUGGAUUUUCAGUUCGCUGUGCUAAAGAUAAGGUGGCCCAGUAAGACUGGGCUGUUCUUAUUGUGGUGGGUUUUGCCCAAGGCUUGAACAAUGUUUUGUACAUUUGACUGCAGCUGGCCAGUCCCUCUCCUCCGAAGUCUGAGGAACUAAUGUUACACGUACUACAGCACAAUGAUAAUUCUGUCAGCAGUCUCAAAGCAACAAGCCUUUGGAUACUUGCUGCAUUGUUCUCCCCAGCAGUCACUAUCAUUCCUCUCUCCAGCUUCACCCUACAGCCCUAAAUUUUUCAAGAGAUAAAGGAUAUGGCAAGUAUUACUACACUCUGUCAAACGUACUGUUGUACACUUAUCAAAAAUGUACAUCUUUGGUUAGUUUGCUGAAAAUGUUUAGUAUGUCCAAUUGCUGUAUUUUGUGUAUCAUAAACUUUACUACUGA
Corvus hawaiiensis (hawaiian crow) is the source of this 3144-nucleotide long non-coding RNA. RefSeq lists it as uncharacterized. The transcript is spliced from 3 exons. The record is from RefSeq and is a predicted model, not a curated record. NCBI's taxonomy places the organism in Eukaryota, Metazoa, Chordata, Aves, Passeriformes, Corvidae.